AAAAUUUUAUUCAACAGGAUACAUUUGCACAUAUACGACAAAAACAAAAAUUCAACCAUAAAACUUGCGAAUACAGAACACAGAUUUAUUAAAACUGUAAUUGUUUCCUACACAUUAAAUAAUAUUAUUCCAGUACAUCUUGCAAUAGAUAAUUAUCAACAAGCUUCUUAUCAUAUUUAUUUGGUCAAUAAAUUAUGGCAUUUUUUUGAGUUUACAUAAUCUGGUCUUCUCUUAUCUGAUAAUGUUGGUAGAACACCUUUUAAAAUCUUUAAAUUACUUUUUAGUAUUUUUUUACCUUAAUCUUAUGGAGUAAACAAUUUAAGGUUGUAUGCCAUGUAAAAUAUCUUGGUCUCUAUUAACUACCAAACUAUUUUUCACAUUUAUUUCUUCUGCAACAAAACUUCUAAACACAACUGGCUGUCCAAAGGAAAAUAUCCUUGCCUCUUUCUUAAAGGAAGUAUUUAACUUCAGUUGGUCAGAUUUAGCGUCCUACUUGUUUUCAUUGUAAUCUAUAUUUUAGACCAAAGCCUCACUGAAUAUAGCAGAAAAGCUUUGACUGUUGACAUUGUGCUUACUGUUAAAAUUUACAAAAGAAAUCUCCAAUUAAAAUUACAAACAAGUCACUCUGGUCCUUUCACAUUGAAACUUUAUUUUAUAACUCUCAAAGAUUGCUAUGGUCAUUACCAGUUAAAUAAGAUCUUUACUGUACUAAAUAUCUGAUAAUUUGAUUUGAAUUUUUAAUUUAAUAAUAAUCUAAUUUAGGAUGUAGCACGUCUUCUAAUUGGCUGACAGUGUUUUGUCUAUCAGCUCAUAGAUAUCAUUUUGUCUUGUGACUGUGACGUCAUCAACUUUUUUAUGUUUUACUCAGGUUUAAAAUGCAAUUUAGAAUUAAAUUAUGAGGAAGGAUUGCAAAAUUUUUCUGUCUAUUUGAAAUAACAUAUAAAAUUUUGGUGCACACUUCAGAGUAACCCUUAAUGCACGUUAUUCAGUGUGCACCAUAUUUUUGAUGUUGUUUCUAAUUGACAAUUUUUUUUUUAUAGUUAUUCCUAAAGUAACUAAGUGUACAAAGAAAUUUUGUUUGACAGAUAGUAUAAAGGAAUGUCCACUGGACUAAAUAUUCAUUUAUAAAUCCAUUACCUCAGAAAACUCUGAUUUUUCAUUUCCAGAUAUAUAAUAUCAGAGUAAAAUCUCAUACAAAAAUAUGGAAGAACAAAGACUUCAACAACAUUUAACUGAGUGUAUAUACAGAUAUCACAUGCAUGUCUAAUAGAAAAUAAUAUAUUUCCACUACCAGGCAAUUAUAUAUUAUAAUUUUAACCUUUAAACCAUUCAUUAAAGUAUCACCAAUGAUGCUAAAAACAGCAUCUGUGUAAUACUUAAUAUCUUUCUUCUAGAAUACAUUUUUCUACUAAUAAUAAUAGAAAUGACAAUGUAAAAGUUGAAAAAAUGAUGUGGAUACCAUUAGAAUAAAUAGGUACUUACAGCUUCAGAUUGUUUCUGGCACAUGCUUUCAAUAGUUGAGUGUUUUUAUAUUAUGAUAGUUAAGAUUAUAUGUAAAUAUUUACAUUUUACGAUUUUAAUCUGUACACAAUAUAUAUUAUUCUCGGUCAAUUAAAAUAUUGCAAGACAUGUUUUUGACAUCAAUAUGAUGUCAUGACUGAUAGGUUUUCUCAGCAACAAGACAUGUAUUAUCUGGUUAUACUAAUACUAAAGCUUCCAUUUAAAAAAAGAUUUCUCAUUUCAAGCAAUAACAAAACAGAUGUAAAAUGGGACAAAAAUCUACUCAUGACAAAAAUGUAAAAUAUUUGCAAGUGCAAACUUUGAAUACAAAAACAUAUAUACACAAUUAAAAGCAGCUGUUUAAGAUAAAGGUUCAAUGUAAAAUGCAAAUACACAUACAUAUAAAAGACAACAUUUAAAAAUACAAUUAUAAAUGUUUUACAUAUUAUUAUCUAGUAUAAUAUACAGGUACAUAGUAAAAUUUAAAUCCUUAUGAUAAAAUACAAUGGGUUCAAUUUUUUCUCUAAAAUUCACAGGAAAAUGGAUGCAUAUAAUGAGAUCAUAACCUUCAUUUAUAACUUAAAGUGGUAUAAAACACCAUGGCUAAACUUAAUUUGGCUAUUUUAAUUUUCUUAAAUAUGUUUAAAUUUUAUCAGAAAAAUUGAAAAAUUUGACCCCAUAUUUACUUUCACCCGACAAAAAACAUUCAUUUUGAUCAUAGAGAAGCUUUAUAUUUCCUGAACAUUAGAAUGUGAUUAAAACCUUCAACUGAUUUUUUCAGAGUUAUCUCCCUGUAGUGUUAUGUACCACCUUAUUAUAAAGUUAACCCUUUCCUCCAUAAUGACGCCUUUUGACGCCACCCCCUUUACUCCAUAAUGACGCUUUUUGACGCCAGUGUUGUACCUCAGUUGAAAUGCUUUGACUACAAAAUGUCUGCAUCAGACUUAAAAAAAUUGUAUCCAAUAUGAAAAGGAUUUUCAUGAAAAUUAUCUGACUUAAAUUUCAUUGAUGAAAUAUUGGUUUUCACAAUGUAUUAACACUUUAAAACUGAUGUUGUUUUUAACUGAAAAAAAUCCUAUGCGAAUCAAGUAUAUUACAAAAAAAAAUCCAUGGAGGAAAGGGUUAAGUGAUUUUUUUCGAAGAAAUAAAGAGAAAGCAGACUUUUCAAAAAGGAAUAUAUUACAUAUGGAAGACAGAAAUAAACAUUUCAAAAUUGCUAAGCUUAGUCUUUAAAUUAAAUACAAGUCAUAUAAAAUGCAAAAUUCCAAUAUUGAAAUUUAUAUACAAAAAUACAAAAUACAUUUAUGGCAGUGAAACAGCUUAUUCAUGAUAAUACAUAUGUACUAAGAAAUCGAGUUUCAGAAAAAUCUUUACAUAUGACACGUUUAUACAAAAAAAAAAGUCCAAUAAAAUAAAAAUGCUUAAAUUGUGUGAAUAACCCACUCAUUCUGUUCAGUAGAACCUGAGAAAAGUGUGACCAAAAGUUUAAAGUUUAUUUGACAUAUUUAAACAAUUCAAAGUAUAGGAAGCAGGAAGUAAAAUGUCAGACAGAUAUGAAAAGUGCUGACACAUUACAACUCAUCACUGUUAAGCUGCUGACCAUAUAUGAAGUCAAUCUGUCCAGUAACUCCUGGGAAAAGGGUUUUCUGUGAUGAAAUAACAUUUAAUUUCAGUUGAAAAAUAAUGAAAACUUUUAAUUUUAAAUAUGACAAUGACUAGUUUUGCAUUUUAGUGCCAUUUUCAGUACUUGUAAUUUAGCCCUAUUUUAAAGUGUCAAUGGACAUAAGCUUAUAUGUUUAACCACAACCAAUUCAAUAUUAAUUUCAACAGAAAGGUUCAAAUCUUCAUCCUUUAAUUUAGAGACUUUGUUACUACAAGACUUUAUUUUUGGAAUCAAAAUUCAACUUCACUUUAUCUACCCUAAAUACUACAGUAAAUUGAGAAAUUACUGAUAGGUUUUUAUCAAUGAGAUAAUAGAACUUGAUAGGUAUCACAAUGAAAAGAAAGUGCAUUAUGAUAUAAGCUACAAACAUCUGUAUGCAGUCUUUUCUGAAAUUGCAGUAAUAAAUCAUGUGUUUUUGUUCAUUCUUCAAAAUCGAAAUAUUAAAUGCAUGCAGUAAUUUCUGAAUUUAAAGUAAGUGGCCAAAUUCUUGUUUCCUUCCAAAAGUAGAUAAACUAUAAUCACCAAUAAAAUUGAUCUUAACUGCAUAUAAUUGUCAUCAUACAAAAAUUAGACAGGUACAAUGAAACAAAUUCAGAUUACAAUUUCCAAUAAUAUGUAUAAAAUAAAUGUUUAUGGCUCUGCUGUAAAAAAAAAAUUUGUAGUUUACAGCUAAAACUAGGGUUUAAUGUUAUAAAAACAAAUGCUUUCUACAAAUCUGCUUUUCAUACCUGUGAUCAAUAUCUCACAUUUAACACUUUCUCUAGUUGAUUUUUGACAUACAGUUAAAAUAAAAUGUUUCAUAAACACGGCACAAUAAAUGUUAACGGUAAUUCUGAUCAAAAGAACAUAUAACUUUGAUUUAAACCAAAGAUACAUAUGUGGCAUGGUUAAAAGCAAUCUCCUAUAUAGUUGUA
RNAcentral lists this long non-coding RNA (4077 nucleotides) under Mytilus galloprovincialis (Mediterranean mussel). Lineage: Eukaryota; Metazoa; Mollusca; Bivalvia; Mytilida; Mytilidae. The record is from RNAcentral.